RNAcentral lists this ribosomal RNA (367 nucleotides) under uncultured organism. RNAcentral's name for it is "bacterial LSU rRNA". It matches the Rfam family "Bacterial large subunit ribosomal RNA", at positions 2099 to 2465 of the family's 2925-position model. The record is from RNAcentral.
CUUUACUGUAGCCUGGUAUUGGGUUCGGGCUUUGACUGCGCAGGAUAGGUGGGAGACUAUGAAGCUGCCCUUGUGGGGUCAGUGGAGUCAUCAGUGAGAUACCACUCUGUCAAGGCUAGAAUUCUAAACGUCUGCCGUUAUCCGGCGACGGAACAGUAUCAGGUGGGCAGUUUGACUGGGGCGGUCGCCUCCUAAAUGGUAACGGAGGCGCGCAAAGGUUCCCUCAGGCUGGUUGGAAAUCAGCCGAAGAGUGUAAAGGCAGAAGGGAGCUUGACUGCAAGAGCAACAACUCAAGCAGGGACGAAAGUCGGCCUUAGUGAUCCGACGGCGCUGAGUGGAAGGGCCGUCGCUCAACGGAUAAAAGUUA